UACGUAGGAUGCGAGCGUUGUUCGGAAUUACUGGGCGUAAAGAGUACGUAGGCGGUACGGUAAGUCUGACAUUAAAGACCGAAGCUCAACUUCGGGACUGUGUUGGAAACUGCAGUACUAGAGGGCAAUAGAGGAAGUCGGAAUUCUCAGUGUAGCGGUGAAAUGCGUAGAUAUUGGGAAGAACACCGGUGGCGAAAGCGGACUUCUGGGUUGUUACUGACGCUGAGGUACGAAAGCGUGGGGAGCAAACGGG
RNAcentral lists this ribosomal RNA (253 nucleotides) under uncultured bacterium. Its description in RNAcentral is "partial 16S ribosomal RNA". It matches the Rfam family "Bacterial small subunit ribosomal RNA", at positions 524 to 776 of the family's 1533-position model. The record is from RNAcentral.